This 405-nucleotide ribosomal RNA is filed under the name uncultured Eubacteriales bacterium. Its description in RNAcentral is "uncultured Clostridiales bacterium partial 16S ribosomal RNA". It matches the Rfam family "Bacterial small subunit ribosomal RNA", at positions 355 to 774 of the family's 1533-position model. The record is from RNAcentral. Lineage: Bacteria; Bacillati; Bacillota; Clostridia; Eubacteriales.
UGGGGAAUAUUGGGCAAUGGAGGCAACUCUGACCCAGCAACGCCGCGUGAAGGAUGAAGGUCUUCGGAUUGUAAACUUCUUUGAUUAGGGACGAAGCAAAUGACUGUACCUAAAGAACAAGCCCCGGCUAACUAUGUGCCAGCAGCCGCGGUAAUACAUAGGGGGCAAGCGUUGUCCGGAAUGACUGGGUGUAAAGGGUGCGUAGGUGGUAUUGUAAGUUAGAAGUGAAACCCCGUGGCUCAACUACGGAACUGCUUCUAAGACUGCAGUACUAGAGUGCAGGAGGGGUAAUCGGAAUUCCUAGUGUAGCGGUGGAAUGCGUAGAUAUUAGGAGGAACACCGGAGGCGAAGGCGGAUUACUGGACUGUAACUGACACUGAGGCACGAAAGCGUGGGGAGCAAACA